RNAcentral lists this ribosomal RNA (253 nucleotides) under uncultured bacterium. RNAcentral describes it as "partial 16S ribosomal RNA". It matches the Rfam family "Bacterial small subunit ribosomal RNA", at positions 524 to 776 of the family's 1533-position model. The record is from RNAcentral.
UACGUAGGCAGCGAGCGUUGUUCGGAAUUACUGGGCGUAAAGAGUGUGUAGGCGGUGCUCUAAGUUCGGUGUGAAAUCUCCUGGCUUAACUGGGAGGGUGCGCCGGAAACUGGAGUGCUCGAGGGUGGGAGAGGAAAGCGGAAUUCCUGGUGUAGCGGUGAAAUGCGUAGAUAUCAGGAGGAACACCGAUAGCGAAGGCAGCUCGCUGGGACGGUACUGACGCUGAGGCGCGAAAGCGUGGGGAGCGAACAGG